GGGUGCGAGGAUCAGGGAUCAACAUAGCCAGCAGAUUAAAAGGUAAUUUCAUACAUUUUCAAGGAGGUAAAUCAUAUGGGAAUACCAUAAUGGGCCACAUACUAUAUGUAGUGCUAACAUUACCAUACGGAAUAAACCCAUCUAUUGCCAACCCUAGCCUGACAUUUCAUAAAUCAAUCGCAAACCAUGGAUGUUCAUGAU
This 201-nucleotide long non-coding RNA is filed under the name Elaeis guineensis (African oil palm). RNAcentral's name for it is "long non-coding RNA (EGUI_LNC008159)". The record is from RNAcentral. Lineage: Eukaryota; Viridiplantae; Streptophyta; Magnoliopsida; Arecales; Arecaceae.